Molecule: ribosomal RNA, 460 nt
Filed under: uncultured bacterium
Lineage: Bacteria
Description: partial 16S ribosomal RNA
Rfam family: Bacterial small subunit ribosomal RNA
Source: RNAcentral
CCUACGGGUGGCAGCAGUGAGGAAUAUUGGUCAAUGGCCGAGAGGCUGAACCAGCCAAGUCGCGUGAGGGAAGACGGCCCUACGGGUUGUAAACCUCUUUUGUCGGGGAGCAAAGCGAACCACGAGUGGCUCAUUGAGAGUACCCGAAGAACAAGGAUCGGCUAACUCCGUGCCAGCAGCCGCGGUAAUAAGUAGGUGGCAAGCGUUGUCCGGAUUUACUGGGCGUAAAGGGAGCGUAGGCGGACUUUUAAGUGAGAUGUGAAAUACUCGGGCUCAACUUGAGUGCUGCAUUUCAAACUGUAAGUCUAGAGUGCAGGAGAGGAGAAUGGAAUUCCUAGUGUAGCAGUGAAAUGCGUAGAGAUUAGGAAGAACACCAGUGGCGAAGGCGAUUCUCUGGACUGUAACUGACGCUGAGGCUCGAAAGCGUGGGGAGCGAACAGGAUUAGAUACCCCAGUAGUC